This 259-nucleotide ribosomal RNA is filed under the name uncultured bacterium. RNAcentral's name for it is "partial 16S ribosomal RNA". It matches the Rfam family "Bacterial small subunit ribosomal RNA", at positions 524 to 782 of the family's 1533-position model. The record is from RNAcentral.
UACGGAGGAGGCAAGCGUUAUCCGGAAUUAUUGGGCGUAAAGCGUCCGUAGGUGGCUCUCUCAAGUCUGCGGUCAAAGACCGGGGCUCAACUCUGGAAAGGCCGUGGAAACUGGUGAGCUAGAGUGCGGUAGGGGCAGAGGGAAUUCCCAGUGUAGCGGUGAAAUGCGUAGAUAUGCGGAGGAACACCGAUGGCGAAGGCAAUCCCCUGGGCCUGCACUGACGCUCAUGCACGAAAGCGUGGGAGCAAACAGGAUAGAA